Molecule: long non-coding RNA, 711 nt
Filed under: Triticum aestivum (bread wheat)
Lineage: Eukaryota; Viridiplantae; Streptophyta; Magnoliopsida; Poales; Poaceae
Description: long non-coding RNA (TAES_LNC010476)
Source: RNAcentral
CGCUCCUUGAGCAGGCGGGAGAAGAUGUCGUAGGCGCGCUCCCCGCGGGAGGUGGUCUCGACGACCAUGGGCACGAGGCCGUACUCGCGGACGGAGGAGUAGCCCUCCGGCUCCGGCGGCUGGUAGGGAGCCGAGGAGAAGAAGGCCCGCGGCGGGGCGGCGACGGCGAGCCGGCGCGGCGCGGGCCCGAACGGGCCCGGGCUGGCCGAGUUGGGCCUGGACCUGGGCCUCGGCGCGAAGGCGGGCAGCGGGGAGGCGCCGGCUAGGUUGGCGACGGCGGAGGGCGUCAUGGCUGCUGCUGCCGGUGGUCCUGGGGGCGUCCGGGGUGCGGAUUUGUGGUCGGAUGUGAGGCGGAAAUAGCAAGGGAGGACUUAUACCAAGGAAGGGGAGGAGAGUGUGAAACGGAGGAAACGGAUAGGGCGAGGCGAGACGUCGAGACGGUGGUUGCGCUUCGAUCCGCCGGAUCGGAUCUUUUCUUUUCUUCUCUUCUCCUCUCUUCUCCUCUCCGGGGUGGGGUGGAGUGGGGGAUCGGUGUUCCUCUCCCUGCCUUGCCUUGUUGCUUCUCCGUCUGGGCUUUCGCUUCUUUUCCAAGAAAGAAUUUAUUUUCUUUUCUGAGACAAAGAACGUCUGGGCUUUCGCUUGUUUUCCAUGAAAGAAUUUAUAAUUUUUUUCGAGACAAAGAAAGAAUUCGAUUUAGCCCACAGUAGUGGG